UGAGGAAUAUUGGUCAAUGGGCGAGAGCCUGAACCAGCCAAGUAGCGUGCAGGAUGACGGCCCUAUGGGUUGUAAACUGCUUUUAUGCGGGGAUAACGUGCGCCACGUGUGGUGUAUUGCAGGUACCGCAUGAAUAAGGACCGGCUAAUUCCGUGCCAGCAGCCGCGGUAAUACGGAAGGUCCGGGCGUUAUCCGGAUUUAUUGGGUUUAAAGGGAGCGUAGGCCGGAGAUUAAGCGUGUUGUGAAAUGUAGACGCUCAACGUCUGCACUGCAGCGCGAACUGGUUUCCUUGAGUACGCACAAAGUGGCGGAAUUCGUGGUGUAGCGGUGAAAUGCUUAGAUAUCACGAAGAACU
RNAcentral lists this ribosomal RNA (355 nucleotides) under uncultured Prevotella sp. RNAcentral describes it as "bacterial SSU rRNA". It matches the Rfam family "Bacterial small subunit ribosomal RNA", at positions 355 to 708 of the family's 1533-position model. Lineage: Bacteria; Pseudomonadati; Bacteroidota; Bacteroidia; Bacteroidales; Prevotellaceae. The record is from RNAcentral.